Molecule: long non-coding RNA, 823 nt
Organism: Tupaia belangeri chinensis (Chinese tree shrew)
Lineage: Eukaryota; Metazoa; Chordata; Mammalia; Scandentia; Tupaiidae
Exons: 4
Source: RefSeq, a predicted model, not a curated record
GUCCCACCUGGGUUGGUUGCUCCUGAAGGCCCUCCUGGCCACAUCCUCCCACUCUCUUCUGCCUUCUCCAUUCGCCCCAGCCCGUGAGCACCUCUCCCUCCCCGAGUCUCCAUGAUGCUUACACCCAGCAGCCUUUAAUAUGACUUAGAAUAGAAUCUGCUGGAAAAUGGGCUCCAUGUGGGCAGUGACUGCAGUGGAGUUUGCUAGCUGUCUGCCCAAAUCCCUUCUACCUGCCUUCCAUGGUAACAUGGCUGCCCUGCCAAGCAUCAACGCCCAGCCCCGCCUGCAGUGAAGAACUGCUGGGUAAAAGUUCUUGCCAGUGGAAAUGAUGUGUGAAAAUUCAGGCAGGGCUGUUUAGUCAGGAGGUCUGCCUCUUUCUGGACCCAGCCUUGACCUUGUAAUGACGAUGAUUGCACAGGAUGACAGAACCACAGCAGAGACGGCGCCAGGGUCCCUGAGUUAUCACAUGGAGCAGAAAGCUACUGCUGACCCGCAAUACUCUCUUCAUACUCUUAUCUAAGGAGGACAGUCACUGAUGAUGACAGCGUCACCAACACUGCACGAUGGGAUCAACUAGGAGGGGAAGGACCUGAAGUUGAGCAUCAUGAUUACAGGAACCCAAUCCAGCCCAUGCUAGAGCGUCAUAAAGACCCUGAGCUUUGUAAUCAUGCAGACCUCUCUGCCACUCACCAGCUGUGCAUCUUUGGCUCUCCACGUGUGUCCAGCAACUGAGUUGGGGCUAAAGAAAACUGCAAAGCCUUUGCCUCGAAGGGUCCCCACAGCAGGACGAUCUCACUGCACCCGUCUUCCUGGCCAGCUCACU